UACCUGCAGCUCGAGUGGUAACCGCUAAUAUUGGGCCUAAAGCGUCCGUAGCCGGUUUGGUAAAUAUCUGGGUAAAUCGUGAGGCUUAACUUCACGAAUUUCGGAUAGACUGCCAGACUUGGGAUCGGGGGAGGUCAGAGGUACUCCAGGGGUAGCGGUGAAAUGUUGUAAUCCUUGGAGGACCACCGGUAGCGAAGGCGUCUGACUAGAACGAGUCCGACGGUGAGGGACGAAGCCCUGGGGCGCAAACCGGAUUAGAUACCCGGGUAGUCCAGGGUGUAAACGAUGUGGGCUUUGUAUUGGAGGUCCCACGUGGGCGUCCAGUGCAGAAGAGAAGUUGUUAAGCCCACCGCCUGGGAAGUACGGUCGCAAGGCCGAAACUUAAAGGAAUUGGCGGGGGAGCACAGCAACGGGAGGAGCGUGCGGUUC
RNAcentral lists this ribosomal RNA (429 nucleotides) under uncultured archaeon. Its description in RNAcentral is "bacterial SSU rRNA". It matches the Rfam family "Archaeal small subunit ribosomal RNA", at positions 474 to 903 of the family's 1478-position model. The record is from RNAcentral.